UACAGAUAGUGAUCAUCGUGAGAGAAGUGAUUUUUUUCUCAUUGCUUUUGUGUGUCUCUGAAAUUCCUACUCUGAGCCUGAGAGCUGGUGUUUCUAGAAAUUGGGAGACACUUCCCUUGAAAUCAGAAAGUUAUCUCAGCAUCAUCAGAUGGGAAAAUGUGGAUGGAACCUAUAGAAGAUGAUACACAAUAUCUUUCCAAUAUUUUAAAGCAAGUGAAAUAUGGGUAAAAUGAACACCAAGAACAGCAUUGAAUGGCAAAUGAGCCUCCUUCUACCACCACUAGCAUCCUAUAGAAUUGAAAAUCAGAACAAAGGGGUGAGAAGAAAUCAACAGAACAUAGGACCUAACACAUUUGUGAAGAAUGACAGAUAUUUUCCAAGAAAUCUUCAGAUCAACCUGGAUCCAAUUUUCUUAACUCAUGAAUGGUUUUUGAGCACACAAUGGAUGGUGGGCAUUUAUAUUAUGUCUCCUUACAAGCAGACAACGUCCUACAGAAUCAGUGAGAGC
Long non-coding RNA from Ailuropoda melanoleuca (giant panda), 508 nucleotides. RefSeq lists it as uncharacterized. Lineage: Eukaryota; Metazoa; Chordata; Mammalia; Carnivora; Ursidae. The transcript is spliced from 4 exons. The record is from RefSeq and is a predicted model, not a curated record.